UUCACACCCGCCCACCGGACGGACAGCCUCAGUCUGCAGGGUUACAGCCUGGAGACAGCCACAGGAGCCUCAAUUUCCUUCUGCAUAGAAACCAGCAGGAUCUCCUUGUGCCGUGGCCCCCAGGUGUGGAGCUUGCGGUACCUUUGCCUCCUGGUGAACUGUCCUCCAUCCUUGAUUGGAAACCCAGACUUGCUACCCAUUCAGAGCCUUCCAGAGCCUCAGUUUCCCCAUCUGUAAAAUGGAGGAUCAAGUCUUACCUCGGAAGGAUCAAAUGAGGUGAUAAUACCUACAAAGCGCUUCAUAACUGGCACGUGGCAAGUACUCAACACGUUAACUAUUAAUCAUUAUUACCAAGCAGACGUUUCAGCACUCACACAGAAUAGGAAUGGUUCACACUUCUGCUUUCCCAGUAGACUGGGAGCUACUUAAAGAAAAUGAACUUUUCAAUCUCUGGCCUCAGCUCCCAGUGCAGUGCCUGGCACAGAAUAGGUGCUCAUUAAAUGCUUGUUAAAUGAGUGAAUUACAGCCAAGAAGAGCUCUGCUCCCAGCCUGCCCAUGUUGAAUGUAGCUGCAGAUAAUAGCCAACAACAUUUAUUGAGAACUUGCAUGUGCCAGGAACUAAUGGUGCCAGGCUCUUUAUGUGCAUGAUCUAGUUCACUAUCCAAGCAGCCCUGUAAGGUGGUUGUUAUUAUUAUCCACGUAUUUCAGUUACAGAGGGGCAAGGCUGGAAUGUCAUCUCAGCCUGCUGGAGCUUUCAUGGCAUAACCUCUGCCCAGCAGAGUCCCAUGUGCCAGUGGGCAGAAGGGGGACCCAAUGGGGUGAAGGAGGCAGUGUGUUUGUCCACUUUUGCAUUGUUAUAGAGAACUACCUGAGACUGGGUUGGCUAUUUAUUUAUUUAUUUGUUCAUUGAGUCAGAGUUUCCCUUUUGUUGCCAAGGCUGGAGUGCAACGGAAUGAUCUCGGCUCAUUGCAAC
Molecule: non-coding RNA, 973 nt
Organism: Callithrix jacchus (white-tufted-ear marmoset)
Lineage: Eukaryota; Metazoa; Chordata; Mammalia; Primates; Cebidae
Source: RefSeq, a predicted model, not a curated record